UAGGCUAAUCUGAUGGAGGCAGUUCCUCAA
RNAcentral lists this non-coding RNA (30 nucleotides) under Mus musculus (house mouse). Lineage: Eukaryota; Metazoa; Chordata; Mammalia; Rodentia; Muridae. The record is from RNAcentral.